GUCCGGUGUAAACUCGAAUGACGCCUUUCGAUUCCCUUCGGCCACCCCAUCCGUCGCCCCCGUCACAUUCGUGAAAUUCUCAACAGUUCGCACGCAGACAGGAUUCGUUAUGUACAGACUUCAUUUUUAUUCGAGCUAAAAACGUAAGAGGUCAAAGUGAUAGUCCGCGGCAGAAAUUGUGUUGGAAACUGAUUCUCUCCUACAUCCUACAUGAGAGCAGACGAAUAUCUGGCAAGAAUCAACACGUGUCUGAAUUCUAAACAAUUCAACGCCAUCUUGUGGCUGAAUCUUUUCUCGUCUCGUCAGAAGAACGAAAAGAAACAGCUUGCUGUUGUUGAGGUAUGUAAAAAUAAACUUGAGACUCUUCAUAAUUGCGUUCAGUUUCAUUUAACAGAACAUAAAACAAAACGAUUCUGUAACCUAAAAAAAAAAAACUGACGGAAAGAGCUACCAUCUAACGGCCAACGAGAAAUUGUUGCAACCAUCAGCAAAAUUGCAAUUCCAUUCGCGGCGCCCUGUCUCAUACCAAUCAAAAAGAAAAGAAAUAUCAGAGUUGAGAGAGACCGUGUCGAAGCCCACACAAUCCGGGGUUGCAACCUUGAUUCAUAUCUUCGUCGCUACAUAGAUAAGUUUGUCGUUAUGCCGGUAUUUUAUUGUACAAUGGAUUCCAGUGCUAUCUGUGGCAAGUAAUAGCUCUUUCGGACUUGUAGAACUUGAUCUUCCUACCGCCCGGAGCCAUUCUCCAAUUUGAACGUGGAACUUCUUGCAUCAUAGAUCAGAGCCCAAAGUGCAAGCGAAAACAAAAAUAUUCCAGAAAUUUGGUCCAUAAGUUAUUCUGCCUUGGGGGAAUGAAAUUUGGACACAAAAUAUAAAUGUCUCCAAAAUGAUCCUCUCGAAUUGCGAGGAUUCCACACUACGCUGUUCCAUUGUACACUACACCAGUUUAUAUGCAAUGCCUGAUGGACUUGCUCACACUUUAAAACUGAACAAAAAAAAAAAAAAAAGAAAUAGUAAUCUGUCCUUACCUUCUGAUAUCAACAGAUUUUUUUGUUUGACGCUGCAGCCGUACAUCCUUCCUGCCAUAGCACUCCCGUACGGUUACACCCUGUUUGCGACAGAAAAACGAAAAACUUGACACGAACAAUCCUCGGUCCACCAUCUUUAUUUAUUAAUCUAUACGUCACUCGGGAUUUUAGGAUCAAGCCAAAUGCCAGCUCACGUGAUAAUCAUUCGCACUUUCUUGCUAACUGAUAGUAAUAAUGUGGUGGGAUGUGCUUAGGUUGGGAAACAUGUCGUGAUAAAAUCGUUGACAAGCCUCGAGAAACAGGUAAAACAAGCUGUAAAGGAAUGUUGAGUCGAUUCUGAUGAGUUGAUCAAAUAC
Molecule: long non-coding RNA, 1381 nt
Organism: Daphnia carinata
Lineage: Eukaryota; Metazoa; Arthropoda; Branchiopoda; Diplostraca; Daphniidae
Exons: 4
Source: RefSeq, a predicted model, not a curated record